GUCCUUUUGAUAAUGAUUUAAGGUCUAAUCUGCUCAAUGAGUAGUUAAAUAGCCGCAGUAUUUUAACUGUGCGAAGGUAGCAUGAUAAUUAGUUUUUUAAUUGAAAGCUUGUAUGAAUGAUUUGACAAGAAAAUUUCUGUCUCUUUUUAAUUAUUUAUUAAUUUAACUUUUAAGUAAAAAGGCUUAAAUUGUUGUAAAAGACGAGAAGACCCCAUAGAGUUUGAUUUUUAUUUUAUUUUAGAAUAAUUUAUUAGAAAAAAAAAUUAGUUGGGGUAACUUAAAGAUAAAAUUAAUUCUUUAAAUGUUAAAUCAUUGAUUUAUGAAUUUAAAAUCUAAAUUAUUAAAUUUAAAUAAAGUUACCUUGGGGAUAACAGCGUAAUUUCUUUUUAGAGUUCUUAUCAAAUAAGAAGAUUGCGACCUCGAUGUUGGAUUAAAAUUAAGUUUGGGUGUAGAAGCUUGAAUAUUAAGUCUGUUCGACUUUUAAAAUUUUACA
Molecule: ribosomal RNA, 493 nt
Filed under: Photinus collustrans
Lineage: Eukaryota; Metazoa; Arthropoda; Insecta; Coleoptera; Lampyridae
Description: partial 16S ribosomal RNA
Rfam family: Bacterial large subunit ribosomal RNA
Source: RNAcentral